UCCCUGGUGGCUCAGCAGUAAAGCAUCUGCCUGAAAUGCAGGAGACCCGAGUUUGAUCCCUGGGUUGGGAA
This 71-nucleotide transfer RNA is filed under the name Bos taurus (domestic cattle). It matches the Rfam family "tRNA". From Rfam's summary of the family: Transfer RNA (tRNA) molecules are approximately 80 nucleotides in length. Their secondary structure includes four short double-helical elements and three loops (D, anti-codon, and T loops). The record is from Rfam by way of RNAcentral. Lineage: Eukaryota; Metazoa; Chordata; Mammalia; Artiodactyla; Bovidae. RNAcentral also lists the same sequence under 1 other name.